UUUCCGUAGGUGAACCUGCGGAAGGAUCAUUAUCGAAUUUCGAGGGGAAGGAAGAUGAGGAGUGGAGACUGUCGCUGGCUUUCCCGCCUGGGAAGCAUGUGCACGCCUUGCUUUUCGUUGACCUUUCUCUUACUCUCACACCUGUGCACCCAUUGUAGGUCCUCGAAAGAGGAUCUAUGUUUUUAUCAUCACACGCAUCGUAUGUCCAUAGAAUGUAACAUGAUCGUCGAUCGACCUCGCGGUCGGGUGGCGGUCUAAAAAAAUAGAUACAACUUUCAGCAACGGAUCUCUUGGCUCUC
This 299-nucleotide unclassified non-coding RNA is filed under the name plant metagenome. RNAcentral describes it as "partial contains small subunit ribosomal RNA, internal transcribed spacer 1, and 5.8S ribosomal RNA". The record is from RNAcentral.